RNAcentral lists this non-coding RNA (24 nucleotides) under Rattus norvegicus (Norway rat). Lineage: Eukaryota; Metazoa; Chordata; Mammalia; Rodentia; Muridae. The record is from RNAcentral.
UGCCAGCUCCCAGUCAGGCAGUGC